Molecule: ribosomal RNA, 406 nt
Filed under: uncultured bacterium
Lineage: Bacteria
Description: partial 16S ribosomal RNA
Rfam family: Bacterial small subunit ribosomal RNA
Source: RNAcentral
AUUGAACGCUGGCGGCAGGCCUAACACAUGCAAGUAGAACGAGUGGCGGACGGGUGAGUAAUGUCUGGGAAACUGCACGAGGGAGGGGGAAAACUACUGGAAAAGGUAGCUAAUACCGCAUACCAUCGGAUGUGCCCAGAUGGGAUUAGGGAGUAGGUGGGGUAACGGUGCACCUAGGCGACGAGCACUAGCUGGUCUGAGAGGAUGACCCGCCACCCUGUGACUGAGACACGGUCCAGACGCCUACGUGAGGCAGCAGUGGGGAAUAUUGCACAAUGGGCGCAAGCCUGAUGCAGCCAUGCCGCGUGUAUGAAGAAGGCCUUCGGGUUGUAAAGUUCUUUCAGCGAGGAGGCGUUACUCGCAGAAGAAGCACCGGCUAACUCCGUGCCAGCAGCCGCGGUAAUUC